UGCAGUCGAGCGGAUGACGGGAGCUUGCUCCUUGAUUCAGCGGCGGACGGGUGAGUAAGCCAGGAAUCUGCCUGGUAGUGGGGGACAACGUUUCGAAAGGAACGCUAAUACCGCAUACGUCCUACGGGAGAAAGCAGGGGACCUUCGGGCCUUGCGCUAUCAGAUGAGCCUAGGUCGGAUUAGCUAGUAGGUGAGGUAAUGGCUCACCUAGGCGACGAUCCGUAACUGGUCUGAGAGGAUGAUCAGUCACACUGGAACUGAGACACGGUCCAGACUCCUACGGGAGGCAGCAGUGGGGAAUAUUGGACAAUGGGCGAAAGCCUGAUCCAGCCAUGCCGCGUGUGUGAAGAAGGUCUUCGGAUUGUAAAGCACUUUAAGUUGGGAGGAAGGGCAGUAAGCUAAUACCUUGCUGUUUUGACGUUACCGACAGAAUAAGCACCGGCUAACUCUGUGCCAGCAGCCGCGGUAAUACAGAGGGUGCAAGCGUUAAUCGGAAUUACUGGGCGUAAAGCGCGCGUAGGUGGUUCGUUAAGUUGGAUGUGAAAGC
This 547-nucleotide ribosomal RNA is filed under the name Pseudomonas sp. RNAcentral describes it as "bacterial SSU rRNA". It matches the Rfam family "Bacterial small subunit ribosomal RNA", at positions 56 to 601 of the family's 1533-position model. The record is from RNAcentral. Lineage: Bacteria; Pseudomonadati; Pseudomonadota; Gammaproteobacteria; Pseudomonadales; Pseudomonadaceae.